RNAcentral lists this ribosomal RNA (463 nucleotides) under uncultured bacterium. RNAcentral describes it as "partial 16S ribosomal RNA". It matches the Rfam family "Bacterial small subunit ribosomal RNA", at positions 28 to 507 of the family's 1533-position model. The record is from RNAcentral.
GAUGAACGCUGACAGAAUGCUUAACACAUGCAAGUCGAUGGGGAAGUGGUGCUUGCACCAUGGCAACCAUGGCGGACGGGUGAGUAACGCGUAAGGGACUUACCUGCAGGACUGGGAUAACAGGGGGAAACUCCUGACAAGACCGGACAAUGUCAUGGAGCUGCAUGGCUUUAUGAUGAAAGGAGACGCCUGCGGAGAGCCUUGCGUCCUAUUAGCUAGUUGGUGAGGUAAUGGCUCACCAAGGCGAAGAUAGGUAGCCGGCCUGAGAGGGUGGACGGCCACAAGGGGACUGAGAUACGGCCCUUACUCCUACGGGAGGCAGCAGUGGGGAAUAUUGGACAAUGGGGGCAACCCUGAUCCAGCAAUUCUGUGUGCACGAAGAAGGUUUUCGGAUUGUAAAGUGCUUUCAGCAGGGAAGAAGUAAGUGACGGUACCUGCAGAAGAAGCGACGGCUAAAUACGUG